This 106-nucleotide microRNA precursor is filed under the name Olea europaea subsp. europaea. Lineage: Eukaryota; Viridiplantae; Streptophyta; Magnoliopsida; Lamiales; Oleaceae. The record is from RNAcentral.
GAAAAGAAAAAAUAGAGAACUAAUUGUAACCACGGUCCCAANAAGCCAAUGCGAAAGUGGCUACGUGGUUGCAAUUAGUUCUCUGUUUUUUCUUUUCCUUUUUCUU